AUGCAGUCGAACGGAAGUGCUCUUCGGAGUGACUCGAGUGGCGAACGGGUGAGUAACACGUGGGUGAUCUGCCCUGCACUUUGGGAUAAGCCUGGGAAACUGGGUCUAAUACCGGAUAGGACCACGGCCUUCAUGGGUUGUGGUGGAAAGCUUUUGCGGUGUGGGAUGGGCCCGCGGCCUAUCAGCUUGUUGGUGGGGUAAUGGCCUACCAAGGCGACGACGGGUAGCCGGCCUGAGAGGGUGUCCGGCCACACUGGGACUGAGAUACGGCCCAGACUCCUACGGGAGGCAGCAGUGGGGAAUAUUGCACAAUGGGCGCAAGCCUGAUGCAGCGACGCCGCGUGAGGGAUGACGGCCUUCGGGUUGUAAACCUCUUUCAACUACGACGAAGCGCAAGUGACGGUAGUAGUAGAAGAAGCACCGGCCAACUACGUGCCAGCAGCCGCGGUAAUACGUAGGGUGCGAGCGUUGUCCGGAAUUACUGGGCGUAAAGAGCUCGUAGGUGGUUUGUCGCGUUGUUCGUGAAAACUCACAGCUUAACUGUGGGCGUGCGGGCGAUACGGGCAGACUGGAGUACUGCAGGGGAGACUGGAAUUCCUGGUGUAGCGGUGGAAUGCGCAGAUAUCAGGAGGAACACCGGUGGCGAAGGA
Molecule: ribosomal RNA, 650 nt
Filed under: Mycolicibacterium pallens
Lineage: Bacteria; Bacillati; Actinomycetota; Actinomycetes; Mycobacteriales; Mycobacteriaceae
Description: bacterial SSU rRNA
Rfam family: Bacterial small subunit ribosomal RNA
Source: RNAcentral